CAAAUAGCGUCCGUAUGACAAAAUGUUCUGAGUACGUAUAUCGUCAAAAAUGUGAAACUUUACGAUGGAACCGUCAGAUGGACUCACAUGACAUCAGUGUUGCCAAUUCCCGAAAUAUAAAUAGUGACCCUCGUACACUGGAGAAAUAGUUUAGUAAAAGCAGCUACCAAAUCUUUAGUAGCAAAAACAUUGACGAAGCGAUUUGGAGUUGGCCUUAAAAUUAUAUGCAGUACAAUCAUUCAUCAUAAACAAAUCGGAGAUAAGUAUUCGUUUUUUUUACAUCAUUACAUCAGUCACCUCGGUCGGGAAACUAUUUUCAUAUUCCCGCCAAGGAUAAACAUCAGUUAUAUUUUAUACAUUACAACACUAUUGACCUUUUUCCUUGUCUUUACAGCUGGCAUGAUCCCAGACUCGUAAUACUUGUUUACCAAAAACCAUCCAAGCUAUGGGAUUGAAGGUAACGGCGAGUUUGUCGCUAAGAUUGGAAUCUUUCUUCAACACAUCAUCGACCGUAAAAAACUUAAGGUACACGAGAGAACAAAAUACGGAUGAAACGUGCUAAUUCUACCGUCACUCUGCUAAUCAGCUGCUAAUCAGCUAAUGCAAAUCAGAGCGAUGCAGCAGGAAGAGGAACGGGAACUUGCUUUGGAAAUGCUCAUCAAAUUGAGGUGGUUGAGG
Molecule: long non-coding RNA, 678 nt
Organism: Toxorhynchites rutilus septentrionalis
Lineage: Eukaryota; Metazoa; Arthropoda; Insecta; Diptera; Culicidae
Exons: 4
Source: RefSeq, a predicted model, not a curated record